Passer domesticus (house sparrow) is the source of this 4168-nucleotide RNA transcript. It is a transcript of the gene named leucine-rich repeat-containing protein 37B-like, with no coding region annotated. The transcript has 4 exons. The record is from RefSeq and is a predicted model, not a curated record. Lineage: Eukaryota; Metazoa; Chordata; Aves; Passeriformes; Passeridae.
CUUGCUAUCCCCAGUGCGUGCUAGAGGGGGGAAUCCAUAAUAUACCACUAUAUGGAGGACAUCUUAGUUUGUGCUCCAACUGAUGAUGUGCUUACACACACGCUUGACCUGACAAUCAGUUCAUUGAUUGCUGCAGGGUUCGAGCUCCAAAAGGAUAAAAUCCAGCGGAUGCCACCCUGGAAGUACCUGGGUCUUGAAAUUGGAAAGUGCACUAUUGUGCCUCAGAAAAUUACAAUUAGAAACAACAUUCGAACCCUAUCAGAUGUCCAACAACUGUGUGGGUCUUUCAAUUGGGUGAGACCUUGGCUAGGCAUUCCCACCGACGACCUAGCCCCCCUUUUCAAUUUAUUGAAAGGGGGAGAGGAGCUUAGUUCUCCUAGGUUCCUCACCCAAGAAGCAUGGGCUGCGCUAGAGAAAAUCCAGAAGUCCAUUUCUGCCAGGCAGGCCCACCGUUACCUACCGGGGCUGCCAUUCAAAUUCAUUAUCUUGGGAAAACUGCCGCACCUCCACGGGGUCAUUUUUCAGUGGGACAACAACACCAACAAGGACCAAGGGACUAAGGACCCCCUCUUAAUCAUAGAGUGGGUGUUCCUUAGUCACCACAGGUCCAAAAGAAUGACACGGCCACAAGAGCUGGUGGCGGAACUGAUCCGUAAGUCUAGGCUGCGCAUCAGGGAGCUGGCAGGUCAAGAUUUUGAGUGCAUUGACAUCCCUCUUCAAUUGAGCUCGGGCCAAAUUACAAAAGCGAUGUUGGAACACCUGCUUCAAGAAAACAAAGCCUUGCAGUUUGCACUGGAUAGUUACACCGGCCAAAUUUCCAUUCAUAGACCGGCCCACAAAAUUUUUAAUCAAGACGUUCAGUUCACACUAUCUCUAAAAAGCGUUCAGAGUAGGACUCCUUUGAAGGCUUUGACUGUGUUUACAGACGCGUCUGGAGCAUCCCACAAGUCAGUGAUGACUUGGAAGGAUCCUCAGACUCAGCGGUGGGAGGCUGAAGUUACUGAGGUUGAAGGAUCACCUCAAGUAGCUGAGUCGGACGCAGUUGUCAGAGCCUUUGAGAAGUGCCCUGAACCAUUUAAUUUGGUCACUGAUUCCUCGUAUGUUGCCAGUGUAGUAUCAAGAGUGGAGAAUGCAAUCUUGCAAGAGGUGUCCAACAUAUCGCUGUUCAACUUGCUCUCAAAACUCGUUAAUCUAGUCUCCUGCGGAGAGCAACCAUUUUAUGUGAUGCACGUCAUGUCUCACACUGACCUGCCGGGGUUCAUCGCGGAGGGGAACCGAAGAGCUGAUGCUCUGGCCGCCCCCGUCCAGGUGGCCCCGCUCCCAGAAGUGUUCCAACAAGCUAAGAUCAGCCAGCUUUUCCAUCAGAAUGCGCCUGGCCUGGUUCGCCAAUUCAAACUUAGUCGCGAACAGGCCAGGGUGAUCGUGGCCACAUGUCCCCUGUGCCAAUCUCAUCAACUGCCAUCAUUAAGUUUAGGCACUAACCCCAGAGGGCUCAGUAGUUGUGAAGUGUGGCAAAUGGAUGUCACACAUUAUUCGGAAUUUGGCAGACUUUGUUACAUCCACGUGUCAGUAGACACUUUCUCUGGUGCAGUUUAUGCCUCUGCCCACACAGGGGAGAAAGCAUCUGACACAAAGAAACAUCUUAUUUUAGCUUUCUCCGUGUUGGGCAUCGCAAAAGUCAUCAAAACUGAUAACGGCCCAGGGUACAAAUCCAGGGAACUCAAGAGCUUCCUGCAACAAUGGGGAAUAGAACAUAAGACCGGCAUCCCCUAUUCCCCAACAGGCCAAGCUGUGGUGGAGAGGACCCAUCAGAGCCUAAAAAGGGUGUUACAUCAACAAAGUUCGGCAAUGAAGAUGGAAUCCCCUCAGAUCCGACUCGCAAAAGCACUUUAUACCAUCAAUUUCUUAAAUUGCUCUUAUGAUAACUUGAAUCCACCUAUUAUCCGACACUUCGGGCACAAUGAAAACCUGCACCUUAGGGUCAAGUCGCCGGUCCUUAUAAAGGAUCCGGAGACAUGGAAAACGGAGGGGCCCUUUGAUUUGGUAACCUGGGGGAGGGGAUACAUCUGCGUAUCCACUCCUUCAGGCCUCAAGUGGGUCCCCUCCAAGUGGGUCAAGCCCUUUUUACCCAAAAAAACCAUGGCGGCUGGAGCUGUGGCACAAGUAGAAGAAGCUUGUUGGAGGAGGAAACGCAAACCAUUCUCAGGAGAUUUGGACCUCCUCCCGGGGCAGAACCUAAACCUUUGAUUUAUCCUAAUGUUUUCCCUUUGCUUCUUUUAUAGAGACAUGCACCCGAUGACUCCCAUCCCAAUCACUACCGUCAUCUUUGUCAUCAUCCUAUGGUUCACAAUUCCCCCAGCGAGCCCGUGGAUCAUCCCCCAGCCAAGACACAACGUGUGGAAAAUGCUCGCCAAGGCCCUCGGCCAGGACCAACUCUGUCUGACCACCACCUCAGCAGCAGACCCUUUGUCGACCUGCCUUGUGGGGAUCCCUUCUGACCCAGAUGAGUUCCCUACCCCUCUUGAUUCCUCCCUAAGACCUUUGGCCCAACAAAAAGUCAUGCGUUCCCCUGGAAUCAACCCCAACCUUAUUUGGAGACGUCUUAUUUCUAAGCUGAACAUUGCUGAGUCCAAACCUGUUGAGUUUAAGUUGCUCGGCUCCGCGGUAGCUUCCGUUUGUGUAGAGUUUAUGUCUUCCCUCAACCCUAUUGGAAAACCCUACCUCCCUGUUAUUCAACCUAAUCAAGAGUAUACAGCUGGAAAUUGGUGCUCCACCGUUGUCCAUAUCACUACUACCCCAACUUAUGAUGAGAAGCCUAGAACCCUUCCCCGAGGAACUUUUUUUAUUUGCGGAGACCGAGCAUGGGCAGGCAUCCCCUCAUGCCUAAUAGGAGGCCCGUGUUCUUUCGGAAAGCUGACGCUGUUUACUCCCAACGACACCCAAAUUGCUAAUUGGAAAACAAAAAUUGUCACACGCAAUUCGACCCGCUCAAAAAGAGACCUAAAAGAAAGAGAUUCACAGUGUGACCCCGAAAUCACCCAUUGGUCUAUCCCAGAAGGCGUCGCUUGGACAGUGUUUUUGCCCUGGGUGUCCAUAGCGAAGUCUCUAGGUGAAUUGGCCCACCUAGAGUGUUGGGUUGCUAAACAAGCCAAUUUGACAUCGGCUGUUCUUAGUGACCUCCUACCAGACGAAGAAAUAACAAGGCGUGCGGCAAUGUAGAUCAUCAUCAGCAGUUGAUGGAGGCACACAAAGGCCUGAAGACAUUCAUGGCCCACGUGGAGCGAGCCCUGAGGAGGGACUGCAGCCUGCCCCAGCUCAAGCAGGCGUGUGCCAAGAUGGUCAAAAAGACCAGGCUGCUUCUAAAGCUUCUUCAAGAGAGGCAAGAGAACCAGGGAGCCUAUGAUCCAAUGGAGCAGUGUCGUCAGCAAGAGAAAAUGAUAAUUCACAUGGCCUUGGGGAAGGACAAGGGACUCACAGGGAAGCAAAAACUGGAGGCUGUGCUGUUCGUGAUCACAUUUGUGGUUUUGCUGUUUUUCUUCGUCUUGGUUUUGCUGAUACUGAAGUGUGUCUUCCACAAGCGCUCCCGACAGAGUGAACUUGACUCCCAGCCUGGCCACCCCAGGAAAUUGUGGCUGAGAAGGUUCUGUGCACAACUGCCACAGAGAGGGAGGAAGGAUAACAAGGAGGCACAGAAUGUAGAGCAGCCUUUGCUCUACAGGGCAGAGAGCUCCUCCGAGUGUUGCCCCUGUUCCCAGGCUGUUCAUGGAGCAUCCCAGUGCUGUUCCCUGUUCAGCAAGUCUGAAUUGCCAUGGAUUCAACGCAUCAGGGAUGCCUAUGAAUCCCAGAGAUCAGCAUCCCGGGAAGAGGCAUAGUGUGAAGAACAAAGGUAGAAGACUUUCAAGAAGUUAAUGGGAUGCCACAAUUGUUCACCUCCCAUUUAGCUGAGGCUCUCCUUGGAUGCUGCUUUGUUGGCUGUUUUUAUUUCCUUACAUGCUUUUUCCUUGACUGUUAUUUUCUUGCUGUCACUGCUGAGGGAAGGCCAGAGGGUGCUGCAGGCAAGCACAAGCUCUGGGACACCCAGAGAAGGCAUCAGUAUCUCAGGGUUUUCCUCAUCCCUUGUCGCAAUGUUUUACCCUGCAUUCAAUAAAAACCAAGUUUGUUCUCGUUC